GAUGAACGCUGGCGGCGUGCCUAAUACAUGCAAGUCGAGCGAACAGACGAGGAGCUUGCUCCUCUGACGUUAGCGGCGGACGGGUGAGUAACACGUGGAUAACCUACCUAUAAGACUGGGAUAACUUCGGGAAACCGGAGCUAAUACCGGAUAAUAUAUUGAACCGCAUGGUUCAAUAGUGAAAGACGGUCUUGCUGUCACUUAUAGAUGGAUCCGCGCCGCAUUAGCUAGUUGGUAAGGUAACGGCUUACCAAGGCAACGAUGCGUAGCCGACCUGAGAGGGUGAUCGGCCACACUGGAACUGAGACACGGUCCAGACUCCUACGGGAGGCAGCAGUAGGGAAUCUUCCGCAAUGGGCGAAAGCCUGACGGAGCAACGCCGCGUGAGUGAUGAAGGUCUUCGGAUCGUAAAACUCUGUUAUUAGGGAAGAACAAAUGUGUAAGUAACUAUGCACGUCUUGACGGUACCUAAUCAGAAAGCCACGACUAACUACGUG
Molecule: ribosomal RNA, 497 nt
Filed under: uncultured bacterium
Lineage: Bacteria
Description: partial 16S ribosomal RNA
Rfam family: Bacterial small subunit ribosomal RNA
Source: RNAcentral